This 200-nucleotide long non-coding RNA is filed under the name Manihot esculenta (cassava). RNAcentral's name for it is "long non-coding RNA (MESC_LNC003987)". The record is from RNAcentral. Lineage: Eukaryota; Viridiplantae; Streptophyta; Magnoliopsida; Malpighiales; Euphorbiaceae.
CACUGGUGUAUUACAGAUAGCCCUGAGGGCUAGUUCAGAUUAGUAUGUCUGAGCUUUUGGUUCAUAUGAUUGGACCUAUAGUACAGUGUUUUAAAGGUUAAGUCUGGUAGUUUUAAAGACAAGUUUUAAAAAGUAAUAGUCCAGUCGGAUCAUGUAUGGGAUUUUAACAGGUACACAGAGUUCAGGAUAGGCUUACUACG